This 253-nucleotide ribosomal RNA is filed under the name uncultured bacterium. RNAcentral describes it as "partial 16S ribosomal RNA". It matches the Rfam family "Bacterial small subunit ribosomal RNA", at positions 524 to 776 of the family's 1533-position model. The record is from RNAcentral.
UACGGGGGGGGCAAGCGUUGUUCGGAAUUACUGGGCGUAAAGGGCUCGUAGGCGGCCAACUAAGUCAUACGUGAAAUCCCUCGGCUUAACCGGGGAACUGCGUCUGAUACUGGAUGGCUUGAGAUUGGGAGAGGGAUGCGGAAUUCCAGGUGUAGCGGUGAAAUGCGUAGAUAUCUGGAGGAACACCGGUGGCGAAGGCGGCAUCCUGGACCGGGAUUGACACUGAGGCGCGAAAGCCAGGGGAGCAAACGGG